This is a long non-coding RNA of Zeugodacus cucurbitae (melon fly), 1149 nucleotides long. RefSeq lists it as uncharacterized. The record is from RefSeq and is a predicted model, not a curated record. Lineage: Eukaryota; Metazoa; Arthropoda; Insecta; Diptera; Tephritidae. The transcript has 3 exons.
CAAAGUUCUUGUGUUUGAACAAGAUUUGUUUUGAGCUACAUAUAUCAUGGCUACUUGUGAAGUAUUAUUUUGCGUGUUUUAUUUAAUUCAGUGAUCUGCAGCCUAAUUAAAGUUUAACUUUUUGAAGCACGCAUUUUUAAAUAAGUAAAAUGUAAAAUACAAGUUUUCUAAAGCCAAAAUGUAGAAUUGAAGAGGGUGAUACAGUAAUACUUCAUUGCACUGUCAAUUCGAAGCACGCAAUAGAAGCUACGCCAACAAUGGUCAACAACAAUGGCGAAACCAUUGAAUACGUAAAUAAUUGUUGAAUAUAAUAAUAUUAUCUUGCCUUAAAUUCUAAUUAAUUUUCCACACAUAUAUUUCAAACCUCAUAUGGCGCGUUAAAGAUACACAAACUUAUUGGUGUCACUUAUUGUAGCAGCGUAGAACUUUCGAAGCGAUGGAAUAUGUGCUGCAAGCAAAUCCAGAACUAUGGAUGAACAUCCUGCUACAUGGAACACAAAUCAUUUACACACCAGAUAUUAAGUUUAACCUGUUGGUCAACACAAGCACGAGAAUUGGAACGACAUGGUUUAGGUGCCUUUGAAACCGUUUAUUAUCACGACGUGUGUCAACUGGGUUUUGCCAAUGAGCUAGAGGACAAAGCAGUUUCAGUAUUAUCGGCACUUGGCCGUGCCAUUAUCAGCUAAAACACAGAAAUUAAAGGGAGGACUUUUUUGAUUCAUUUUCACCUUGUAUUGAGGAAUCAUAACGUUGUUGUAUCGCUUUACCAGGACAUAAAUUCACCGAAAUUAGUUCAAUGGAAAUACUACAGCAAGUGCAUGGAUGUUAAGACUUGAACGGUGCCGUGCUAGAUUUAGAAUUCCUGAAACAUAAGAAACCCUCCUCCCAGAUGAAUCUAGUACUAGUGAAAUUAAUGAAAGAACAGAUCUUAAAAAACUCCUAAAGAAACCAAAAGAGUCCUCACAUAAUGUGCGCAGCUUACACUUCCAGCCCGCACGGGGUAUCUGACAUUUGCCACUCUUCCUCCAGCCUUUGUCCGAUAGCAAAAAUUGUUCAACUAUUCAAUUCUUUAUACAUAUGUAUAUAGUGUAGUAUGAUAAUAUAUGUAUAAAGUAAAUAUAAUAAUAAACACCUAAAUGGCAUGAUAUU